GGCUCGUUGGUCUAGGGGUAUGAUUCUCGCUUAGGGUGCGACAGGUUCCGGGUUCAAAUCCCGGACGAGCCC
This 72-nucleotide transfer RNA is filed under the name Daphnia magna. RNAcentral describes it as "tRNA-Pro". It matches the Rfam family "tRNA". From Rfam's summary of the family: Transfer RNA (tRNA) molecules are approximately 80 nucleotides in length. Their secondary structure includes four short double-helical elements and three loops (D, anti-codon, and T loops). The record is from RNAcentral. Lineage: Eukaryota; Metazoa; Arthropoda; Branchiopoda; Diplostraca; Daphniidae.